CAGCCGCCGCGGUAAUACAGAGGGUGCGAGCGUUAAUCGGAUUUACUGGGCGUAAAGCGUGCGUAGGCGGCUAAUUGAGUCGGAUGUGAAAUCCCCGAGCUUAACUUGGGAAUUGCAUUCGAUACUGGUUAGCUAGAGUGUGGGAGAGGAUGGUAGAAUUCCAGGUGUAGCGGUGAAAUGCGUAGAGAUCUGGAGGAAUACCGAUGGCGAAGGCAGCCAUCUGGCCUAAUACUGACGCUGAGGUACGAAAGCAUGGGGAGCAAACAGGAUUAGAUACCCCCGUAGUCCCUGUCUCUUAUAA
RNAcentral lists this ribosomal RNA (301 nucleotides) under uncultured bacterium. Its description in RNAcentral is "partial 16S ribosomal RNA". It matches the Rfam family "Bacterial small subunit ribosomal RNA", at positions 509 to 809 of the family's 1533-position model. The record is from RNAcentral.